AUUGAACGCUGGCGGCAGGCCUAACACAUGCAAGUCGAGCGGAUGAAGGGAGCUUGCUCCUGGAUUCAGCGGCGGACGGGUGAGUAAUGCCUAGGAAUCUGCCUGGUAGUGGGGGAUAACGUCCGGAAACGGGCGCUAAUACCGCAUACGUCCUGAGGGAGAAAGUGGGGGAUCUUCGGACCUCACGCUAUCAGAUGAGCCUAGGUCGGAUUAGCUAGUUGGUGGGGUAAAGGCCUACCAAGGCGACGAUCCGUAACUGGUCUGAGAGGAUGAUCAGUCACACUGGAACUGAGACACGGUCCAGACUCCUACGGGAGGCAGCAGUGGGGAAUAUUGGACAAUGGGCGAAAGCCUGGUCCAGCCAGGCCGCGUGUGUGGAGAAGGUCUUCGGAUUGUAAAGCACUUUAAGUUGGGAGGAAGGGCAGUAAGUUAAUACCUUGCUGUUUUGACGUUACCAACAGAAUAAGCACCGGCUAACUUCGUG
Molecule: ribosomal RNA, 484 nt
Filed under: uncultured bacterium
Lineage: Bacteria
Description: partial 16S ribosomal RNA
Rfam family: Bacterial small subunit ribosomal RNA
Source: RNAcentral